Molecule: ribosomal RNA, 467 nt
Filed under: uncultured bacterium
Lineage: Bacteria
Description: partial 16S ribosomal RNA
Rfam family: Bacterial small subunit ribosomal RNA
Source: RNAcentral
GACGAACGCUGGCGGCGUGCUUAACACAUGCAAGUCGAACGGAAAGGCCCUGCUUUUGUGGGGUGCUCGAGUGGCGAACGGGUGAGUAACACGUGAGUAACCUGCCCUUGACUUUGGGAUAACUUCAGGAAACUGGGGCUAAUACCGGAUAGGAGCUCCUGCUGCAUGGUGGGGGUUGGAAAGUUUCGGCGGUUGGGGAUGGACUCGCGGCUUAUCAGCUUGUUGGUGGGGUAGUGGCUUACCAAGGCUUUGACGGGUAGCCGGCCUGAGAGGGUGACCGGCCCCAGUGGGAUGGGGGAGGGGCCAGGAGGCAAACGGGGGGAAGGGGGGGGGAAUUUUCGGAACUGGGCGGAGGCAGGAAGGAGGAACGCCGGGUGGGGGAAGACGGCCUUGGGGUUGGAACACGUUUUCGACUGAGACGAAGCGUGGUGACGGGAAAUGGUCAAAAAGGCACGGGUAACUACGUG